RNAcentral lists this ribosomal RNA (375 nucleotides) under Klebsiella pneumoniae. Its description in RNAcentral is "partial 23S ribosomal RNA". It matches the Rfam family "Bacterial large subunit ribosomal RNA", at positions 2568 to 2925 of the family's 2925-position model. The record is from RNAcentral. Lineage: Bacteria; Pseudomonadati; Pseudomonadota; Gammaproteobacteria; Enterobacterales; Enterobacteriaceae.
AGGGUAUGGCUGUUCGCCAUUUAAAGUGGUACGCGAGCUGGGUUUAGAACGUCGUGAGACAGUUCGGUCCCUAUCUGCCGUGGGCGCUGGAGAAUUGAGGGGGGCUGCUCCUAGUACGAGAGGACCGGAGUGGACGCAUCACUGGUGUUCGGGUUGUCAUGCCAAUGGCACUGCCCGGUAGCUAAAUGCGGAAGAGAUAAGUGCUGAAAGCAUCUAAGCACGAAACUUGCCCCGAGAUGAGUUCUCCCUGAGACUUUAAGUCUCCUGAAGGAACGUUAAAGACGAUGACGUUGAUAGGCCGGGUGUGUAAGCGCAGCGAUGCGUUGAGCUAACCGGUACUAAUGAACCGUGAGGCUUAACCUUACAACGCCGAAG